UACGUAGGGCGCAAGCGUUGUCCGGAAUUAUUGGGCGUAAAGAGCUCGUAGGCGGCUUGUCACGUCGGGUGUGAAAGCCCGGGGCUUAACCCCCGGGUCUGCAUUCGAUACGGGCUAGCUAGAGUGUGGUAGGGGAGAUCGGAAUUCCUGGUGUAGCGGUGAAAUGCGCAGAUAUCAGGAGGAACACCGGUGGCGAAGGCGGAUCUCUGGGCCAUUACUGACGCUGAGGAGCGAAAGCGUGGGGAGCGAACAGG
RNAcentral lists this ribosomal RNA (254 nucleotides) under uncultured bacterium. RNAcentral describes it as "partial 16S ribosomal RNA". It matches the Rfam family "Bacterial small subunit ribosomal RNA", at positions 524 to 776 of the family's 1533-position model. The record is from RNAcentral.